CUUCGACGCUGAACUCUCCUGAAUGACUGACCGGCCGCAUCUCAGGCUGAAGUGUGAGCACCUGAGGGGUUCUCCUGAGGCGCUUGGAGAAGAGUGGCCGAAAUAACUUUUCUUACAAGCUGAGAAUUUCUGGAAUGUGGAAGUACCAGGAUUCUGUAAUGAAAUGUCAGAUGGAGGCUGAAGAAGAGUGGGUGGAGACAAGCCAAAAACUCGCCAGAAGACUGUUUACCAAGAGCUGCAAGCAAAGAAUGGAAAUUUCCAAUUGCAGCAUCAAGGGCUGCUGUUCUGCUGACUGUCUUGCUCAGCCGGGGUCAUCUGCUUCUCUAAGAUAUCAAGGAAUGCCAAGGGAAAAAGAAUGAAAUGGAAGCACUCGUUCGUCUCCCUCUGCUCCAUCUCCCUCUGAGCAUUACAGCAGUGACUGACCUGUGGAUCUGACGUGAAUUGUAAUGUGGGAUCAUAGAAAUGAAAGUAACCUCUGAAGUAGUUUCAUCUACCUUCCAUCUUUGGCAAGUAAGCCCCAAACUGUUACAAAGAGUUAGUAUUUCAGAAACUUUCCCCUAGGCAAUUUUCCCCAAAUCCAACCUACAUUCUACCUUACAGGAUGGCAGGAACAAUUUUUCUUGUGCGCUACAGUGGAGACGUGAAAACAGCUUUUUGCCAUAGCUAAUCAUCAUAACCAUUUCUGCAUCACAUGGGUUAUUUUUCUGGACUAUGGGGAGACAGCCUAGAAUAAUAGGUAAGAAUUCAGGCUUAGAGACAGACAGAUUUGUGCUUAAGCCACAGCUGUAUCAUCACAGGCAAUUUACUUAAGUUUCUCUAAGCCUCAAUUUCCUCACCCAUAAUGUAGGGAUGAUAAUACAGUCCAGCUGAUCAAAUUACUGUGAAGAAUAGUCUAGAAUAAGUGCUAGAAUAAAUCCAAUAGAAAUAUAAUGCAAGCCACAAAUGUGAGUCGCAUAUGUAAUGUAAAAUUUUCUCGUAGCCCCAUUAAGAAACAUAAAAAGAAACAGGUGAAAUUAAUUUUAGUAAUAUAUGUUACUCAACAUAUCCAAAACAUCAUUUCAACAUGUAAAAAAUAUUAGUGAGAUAUUUUAUGUUCUCUUUUUGGUACUAAGUCAUCAAAAUCCAAUGUGUAUUUUAUACAUAUGGUUUGUUUCAACUCAAACUAACAACAUUUAAGCACUUAAUAAGCCACCUGUGGCCAGUGGUUACUGUAGUGGAGAGUCCAGGUUUUGACAAAAGCUAUAAAGCAUUUAGCAUUAUGCUAGGUGUGUAGUGAAUGUUAAAAGGUUGGGGCUGCUAUUAUUUUUCUUAAUAUUAUUCUUAGAGAACUCUGUAAUCUUCUCAAAGCCUUCACUUCUCCAGACUGACCCUAGCUAUGAUGCUCUUAGGAGUACCUGGGGAGACUGGGUUACUCAAGCCAAGCACUUCAGUUACUUCAAAGGCAACUUCCUCAUGGCUAAUCCCCAUCUAUCAUAUGGAGGGGGUCACAAAAAGUGGCAUCUGCAUGGAGAAUGACCUUCAAUACUGACACAUUAAACCCCAAGAAGUAGGCACCACCACUAAUCUGCUACCUUCUCAUACAAAUAGUACAGGAUAGGACAUCUGCUAAAGCAACCACUUGUUCCUAUGAUUUUCCCCUUGUAAGUAGUGAGGUGCUAUGCAGUACAUUGUACUCAAAAGUUGAUUUGCUAAGUUAAACAUACAGUUAGAAUAUGAUCCAGCAAUUUCAGUGGUAUAACCAAGAAAAUUAUAAGACUUAUGUCUGCACAAAAACUUGUAAACAAAUGUACACAGCAGCAUUAUUCAUAAUGGCAAAGAAGUGGAAACAACCCAGAUGUCCAUCAACUGAUGAAUGGAUAAACAAAAUGUGAUAAAUCCAUACAAUGGAAUAUUAUUCAGUAAUGAAAAGAAAUGAAGUACUAAUUCAUGCUACAGCAUGGACAAACCUUGAAACCACGUUGCUCAGUGAAAGAAGUCAGACACAAAAGGCCACAUAUUGCGUGAUUCCAUUUAUGUGAAAUAUCCACCAUGGGCAAAUCCAUAGAGAGAAAAAACAGAUUCUUGGUUUCCAAGGGCUAGGGAGAGGGGAGAAUUGAGAGUGACUGCUAACAGGUAUAGAGUUUCUGUCCGGAGUGAUGGAAAUAUUUUGGAAUCAGAUAAUGGCAAUGGUUGUACAUCACUGUGAAUAUACUAAAAACCACUGAAUCGCUAAAAAAAGAAAGUUGAUUUGUUGUCCGAGGGAAGCAUGGUCAGAUACACAGUACUGCCAGAGCCCCAGAAUAGAGAAGUAUUUGUAAGACUUUAAAAAUAGAAGAGAUCACCCAUGUCCAAAAUAUUAUUUGAUAGGAUAUCAUUUUUAACUACAGCAUGCAUAAUAUCAAGCCCUUCUCACCUUUUCAUAAAUGUAAAUUGUUUUACAUUUUAACAUUAAGCAUAUUAACUACUAAGAGGGCACAAACUUCAAGGACACACGCAUAUACAUAAACAUAAAUGCAUGUAAAUGUGUCAGAACCUUCUGAAAGACUGUACCUGUCAUUCUUUUGUUUGGAGCUCUCCCACCACUCCCAUCUCACCCUCAGGAUGGCCCCACACCCCCCAGUGCCACCUGCCUACUGUGUGGCAGCAGAGUACAACAGUGAAGGCAUGGGCCAGACACAGCCAGACAGCCCCAGUUAAAGUCCAGGUCUCACUGCUCACUAGCUCUGUGACUUUGAGCACCCUUCCUAACUUUUCUGUGGCUCAGUUUCCCUUUACAACAGGGAUGAUAAGAGUGCCCAGGCUUGUUGCAAGGAUUAACAGAAUUAACAUAUAAAGUACUUAACAAGAAUGCCUGGCCUGUAUACUACUCAAAGCAAUCUACAGAUUUAAUGUGAUCCCUAUCAAAUUACCCAGGACAUUUUUUCACAGAACUAGAAUAAAUAAUUCUAAAAUUUAUAUGAAAUCAAAAAAGACCCAGAAUUGCCAAAGUAAUACUGAGGAAAAACAACAAAGCUAGAGGCAUAACCCUCCCAGACUUCAGACACGCUACAAAGCUGCUGUAAUCACAACAGCACAGUAUUGGCACAAAACAGACAAAAUGGCACAAAAUGGAUCAAUGAAACAGAAAAGAGAGCUCAGAAAGAAACUGACACACCUAUGGUCAAUUAAUCUUCAACAAAGGAGGCAAAAAUAUACAAUGAAGAAAAAGUCUUUCUGACAAGUGGUAUUGGGAAAGCUGGACAGCCAUAUGUUAAUCAAUAAAAUUAGAAUGCUCCCUCGCACCAUACACAAAAAUAAACUCAAAAUGGCUUAAGACUUAAACAUAAGACAAGACACUAUAAACCUCCUAGAAGGGAACACAGGUAAAACAUUCUCUAAUAUAAACUGUGGCAAUGUUCUCCUAGGGCAGUCUACCGAGGCAAUAGAAAUAAAAGCAAAAAUAAAUAAAUGGGACCUAUUUGAACUUAUAAGCUUUUGCACAGCAAAGGAAGUAAUAAACAAAAUGAAAAGAUAACCUACAGAAUGGGAGAAAAUAUUUGCAAAUGAUGUGACUGACAUGGGUUUAAUUUCCAGAAUAUACAAACAGCUCAUAAAACUCAAUAAAAAGAAACAAACAACCCAAUCCAAAAAUGGGCAGAAGACCUAAACAAACAUUUCUCCAAUGAAGAAAUAGCCAAUAGGCACAUGAAAAAAUGCUCAAUAUUCUAAUUAUCAGAGAAAUGCAAAUCAAAACUACAAUGAGGUUAUCACCUCACACUGGUCAGAAUGGCCAUCAUUAAAAAGUUCACAAAUGAUAAGUGCUGGAGAGGGUGUGAAGAAAAGGGACUCUUCCUAUGCUGUUGGUAGAAAUGUAGUUUGGUGCAGCCAUUAUGGAAAACAUUAUGGAGAAUCCUUAAAGAACUGAAAAUAGAUUUACCCUGUGAUCCAGCAAUCCCACUCCUGGGCAUAUAUCCAGAGGGAACUCUAAUUUGAAAAGAUACAUGCAUCCCAAUGUUCAUAGCAGCACUGUUUACAAUAGCCAAGACAUGGAAACAAAUAUCCAACCACAGAUGACUGGAUAAAGAAGAUGUGGUAUAUAUACACAAUGGAGUACUACUCAGCUGUAAAAAAAAGAAUAAAAUAAUGCCAUUUGUAGCAACAUGGAUGGACCUGGAGAUUGUCAUACUAAGUGAAGUAAGCCAGAAAGAGAAAAAUACCAUAUGAUAUCACUUAUAUGUGGAAUCUUAAAAAAAUGGACACAAAUGAUCUUAUUGACAAAACAGAGACAGACUCACAGACAUAGAAAACAAACUUAUGGUUACCACGGGGGAAAUGGGGUAGGGAGGGAUAAAUUGGGAGUUCAGGAUUUGCAGAUACUGACUACUAUAUAUAAAACAGAUAAACAACAAGGUCCUACUGUAUAGCAUUGAGAACUAUAUUCAGUAUAUAUGUAAUAGCUUAUAAUGAAAAAGAAUAUGAAAAGAAAUAUGUAUAUAUGUGUAAGUGAAUCACUAUGCUGUACAUCAAAAAUUAAUAC
Camelus dromedarius (Arabian camel) is the source of this 4495-nucleotide long non-coding RNA. RefSeq lists it as uncharacterized. The transcript is spliced from 4 exons. The record is from RefSeq and is a predicted model, not a curated record. Lineage: Eukaryota; Metazoa; Chordata; Mammalia; Artiodactyla; Camelidae.